This 631-nucleotide ribosomal RNA is filed under the name Thalassospira permensis. RNAcentral's name for it is "bacterial SSU rRNA". It matches the Rfam family "Bacterial small subunit ribosomal RNA", at positions 84 to 750 of the family's 1533-position model. The record is from RNAcentral. Lineage: Bacteria; Pseudomonadati; Pseudomonadota; Alphaproteobacteria; Rhodospirillales; Thalassospiraceae.
GGAACUGGAGAGUGGCGCACGGGUGAGUAACGCGUGGGGACCUACCUUUCAGUGGGGGAUAACGGUUGGAAACGACCGCUAAUACCGCAUACGCCCUUCGGGGGAAAGAUUUAUCGCUGAAAGAUGGACCCGCGUUGGAUUAGAUAGUUGGUGAGGUAACGGCUCACCAAGUCAGCGAUCCAUAGCUGGUUUGAGAGGAUGAUCAGCCACACUGGGACUGAGACACGGCCCAGACUCCUACGGGAGGCAGCAGUGGGGAAUAUUGGACAAUGGGCGCAAGCCUGAUCCAGCCAUGCCGCGUGAGUGAAGAAGGCCUUCGGGUUGUAAAGCUCUUUCAGAUGCGAAGAUGAUGACGGUACCAUCAGAAGAAGCCCCGGCUAAUUUCGUGCCAGCAGCCGCGGUAAUACGAAAGGGGCAAGCGUUGUUCGGAUUUACUGGGCGUAAAGGGCACGCAGGCGGUCUUGCCAGUCAGGGGUGAAAGCCCGGGGCUCAACCCCGGAACUGCCUCUGAUACUGCAAGACUAGAGACUAGGAGAGGGUGGUGGAAUUCCCAGUGUAGAGGUGAAAUUCGUAGAUAUUGGGAGGAACACCAGAGGCGAAGGCGGCCACCUGGACUAGAUCUGACGCUCAG